UACGUAGGUGGCGAGCGUUGUCCGGAUUUACUGGGUGUAAAGGGCGUGUAGGCGGGAUAGCAAGUCAGAUGUGAAAUACCAAGGCUUAACUUUGGGGUGCAUUUGAAACUGUUAUUCUUGAGUGUCGGAGAGGGAAGCGGAAUUCCUAGUGUAGCGGUGAAAUGCGUAGAUAUUAGGAGGAACACCAGUGGCGAAGGCGGCUUUCUGGACGAUAACUGACGCUGAGGCGCGAAAGCGUGGGGAGCGAACAGGAUUAGAUACCCUGGUAGUCCCU
RNAcentral lists this ribosomal RNA (274 nucleotides) under uncultured prokaryote. Its description in RNAcentral is "partial 16S ribosomal RNA". It matches the Rfam family "Bacterial small subunit ribosomal RNA", at positions 524 to 798 of the family's 1533-position model. The record is from RNAcentral.